RNAcentral lists this ribosomal RNA (468 nucleotides) under uncultured bacterium. RNAcentral describes it as "partial 16S ribosomal RNA". It matches the Rfam family "Bacterial small subunit ribosomal RNA", at positions 28 to 507 of the family's 1533-position model. The record is from RNAcentral.
GACGAACGCUGGCGGCGUGCUUAACACAUGCAAGUCGAACGGAAAGGCCCUGCUUUUGUGGGGUGCUCGAGUGGCGAACGGGUGAGUAACACGUGAGUAACCUGCCCUUGACUUUGGGAUAACUUCAGGAAACUGGGGCUAAUACCGGAUAGGAUCUCCUGCUGCAUGGUGGGGGUUGGAAAGUUUCGGCGGUUGGGGAUGGACUCGCGGCUUAUCAGCUUGUUGGUGGGGUAGUGGCUUACCAAGGCUUUGACGGGUAGCCGGCCUGAGAGGGUGACCGGCCACCUUGGGACUGAGAUACGGCCCAGACUCCUACGGGAGGCAGCAGUGGGGAAUAUUGCACAAUGGGCCGAAGCCUGAUGCAGCAACGCCGCGUGCGGGAUGACGGCCUUCGGGUUGUAAAACGCUUUCGCCUGUGACGAAGCGUGAGUGACGGUAAUGGGUAAAGAAGCACCGGCUAACUACGUG